This 364-nucleotide ribosomal RNA is filed under the name Bambusacarus longipalpis. RNAcentral's name for it is "partial small subunit ribosomal RNA". Lineage: Eukaryota; Metazoa; Arthropoda; Arachnida; Trombidiformes; Eriophyidae. The record is from RNAcentral.
UUUGAGUCCAGAGGGGCGGGGGAUUUGGGCAUAUCUAAUUUUUUAUUUCUAAUCAAAAUUUUUUUUUUCCUUUUAAUAUUAAGUCCUUUUUUAUUUUUAAUUUUUUUUUUAAUUUCAUUUUUUUUUUUUUUAUGUAUCCCACUAUUUUCCUUAAUUUUUUUUCUGUCUUGAUUUGUAUUUUUAUAUAUUUUAUUUUAAAUGGAAAUUUUUUUAUUUCUAUUUUAAACAAUGAUAUAGAAAAUGAUAAUGAAGAUAGAAUUAAUCGUGGGCUAUCUAUUAGUUAGCAGGAUCCCCUAUUUUUUUUAAAUACCGCCAUUAUGUUUAAAUUUUAUUUAUUAAAUUACUUUUUUUCUUUUUUUAAAAG